This is a small nuclear RNA of Protopterus annectens (West African lungfish), 106 nucleotides long. The record is from RefSeq and is a predicted model, not a curated record. Lineage: Eukaryota; Metazoa; Chordata; Ceratodontiformes; Protopteridae.
GUGCUUGCUUUGGCAACACAUAUACUAAAAUUGGAAUGGUACAGAGAAGAUUAACAUGGCCCCUGCACAAGGUUACAUGCAAAUUCAUUAAGUAUCCCAUGUCAAG